Molecule: long non-coding RNA, 1424 nt
Organism: Oncorhynchus keta (chum salmon)
Lineage: Eukaryota; Metazoa; Chordata; Actinopteri; Salmoniformes; Salmonidae
Exons: 3
Source: RefSeq, a predicted model, not a curated record
GGACAGGUAAGGGGGAGGGGUUAUUGUACAGCUAUGUCCUAAUACACAGCGCCUGACAGGACAGGUAAGGGAGAGGGGUUAUUGUACAGCUAUGUCCUAAUACACAGCGCCUGACAGGACAGGUAAGGGAGAGGGGUUAUUGUACGGCUAUGUCCUAAUACACAGCGCCUGACAGGACAGGUAAGGGAGAGGGGUUAUUGUACAGCUAUGUCCUAAUACACAGCGCCUGACAGGACAGGUAAGGGAGAGGGGUUAUUGUACAGCUAUGUCCUAAUACACAGCGCCUGACAGGACAGGUAAGGGAGAGGGGUUAUUGUACAGCUAUGUCCUAAUACACAGCGCCUGACAGGACAGGUAAGGGAGAGGGGUUAUUGUACAGCUAUGUCCUAAUACACAGCGCCUGACAGGACAGGUAAGGGGGAGGGGUUAUUGUACAGCUAUGUCCUAAUACACAGCGCCUGACAGGACAGGUAAGGGGGAGGGGUUAUUGUACAGCUAUGUCCUAAUACACAGCGCCUGACAGGACAGGUAAGGGAGAGGGGUUAUUGUACAGCUAUGUCCUAAUACACAGCGCCUGACAGGACAGGUAAGGGAGAGGGGUUAUUGUACAGCUAUGUCCUAAUACACAGCGCCUGACAGGACAGGUAAGGGAGAGGGGUUAUUGUACAGCUAUGUCCUAAUACACAGCGCCUGACAGGACAGGUAAGGGAGAGGGGUUAUUGUACAGCUAUGUCCUAAUACACAGCGCCUGACAGGACAGGUAAGGGGGAGGGGUUAUUGUACAGCUAUGUCCUAAUACACAGCGCCUGACAGGACAGGUAAGGGGGAGGGGUUAUUGUACAGCUAUGUCCUAAUACACAGCGCCUGACAGGACAGGUAAGGGAGAGGGGUUAUUGUACAGCUAUGUCCUAAUACACAGCGCCUGACAGGACAGGUAAGGGAGAGGGGUUAUUGUACAGCUAUGUCCUAAUACACACGCGCCUGACAGGUGCACAUUGGAUCAGUGCGAAAUAUCCAUAGGAGUCCAUAGAAGUUUUCCAGUCUCAGUUCAAAUACUGUACAGUCUUAUAUGCCUCAGAUACUAAAUAAAAAGUAUCCUGUAGGUUCCAUUGUCAUCCUUCCUGAUCAGAAAACACACCACGGGUUCUUCUUCGUAGGUACUUUAUAAAGAGUUCAAUCAAUCAUAGCUGUUGUAAGAGAAAGUUUUGGAAGAACAUCCACUUCAGGAGUGGGUUAGAAAACAAUGACCAGGCAAUGUGGCUGUGUACUGUGGUGAGCAAGCCUAAUGUUCCCGUUGCUUUCCUGAACACAUAGAAAAAGGCCCAGCAGAGCUGCUGUUAAAAGUUCUUAAUGACUCUGGGCCCCACAUGAACCCAGGUAGAAUGAACCCUGUCCACACCAAGGUGACUGAGUUUGACCGCGUG